GACGAACGCUGGCGGCGUGCUUAACACAUGCAAGUCGAGCGGUAAGGCCCUUUUGGGGGUACACGAGCGGCGAACGGGUGAGUAACACGUGGGUGACCUGCCCUCAGCUCUGGGAUAAGCCUGGGAAACUGGGUCUAAUACUGGAUAUGACCUUUCCUCGCAUGGGGUUGGGUGGAAAGUUUUUCGGCUGGGGAUGGGCCCGCGGCCUAUCAGCUUGUUGGUGGGGUGAUGGCCUACCAAGGCGACGACGGGUAGCCGGCCUGAGAGGGCGACCGGCCACACUGGGACUGAGACACGGCCCAGACUCCUACGGGAGGCAGCAGUGGGGAAUAUUGCGCAAUGGGCGGAAGCCUGACGCAGCGACGCCGCGUGGGGAUGACGGCC
This 384-nucleotide ribosomal RNA is filed under the name uncultured bacterium. RNAcentral describes it as "bacterial SSU rRNA". It matches the Rfam family "Bacterial small subunit ribosomal RNA", at positions 28 to 416 of the family's 1533-position model. The record is from RNAcentral.